Molecule: non-coding RNA, 69 nt
Organism: Rattus norvegicus (Norway rat)
Lineage: Eukaryota; Metazoa; Chordata; Mammalia; Rodentia; Muridae
Source: Rfam
GGGGAUUUAGCUCAGUGGUAGAGCGCUUGCCUAGCAAGCACAAGGUCCUGGGUUCGGUCCUCAGCUCCA